GAUGAACGCUGGCGGCGUGCCUAAUACAUGCAAGUCGAGCGGUAAGGCCCCUUCGGGGGUACACGAGCGGCGGACGGCUGAGUAACACGUAGGAACGUACCCCAAAGUGAGGGAUAAGCACCAGAAAUGGUGUCUAAUACCGCAUGUGCUCUAAGGAGUAAAGCUUCGGCGCUUUGGGAACGGCCUGCGCAUGAUUAGCUUGUUGGUGAGGUAAUGGCUCACCAAGGCGACGAUCAUUAGCUGGUCUGAGAGGAUGACCAGCCAGACUGGGACUGAGAACGGCCCAGACUCCUACGGGAGGCAGCAGUAGGGAAUUUUCCACAAUGGGCGAAAGCCUGAUGGAGCAACGCCGCGUGCAGGAUGAAUGCCUUCGGGUUGUAAACUGCUUUUAUAUGUGACGAAUAUGACGGUGGCAUAUGAAUAAGCACCGGCUAACUACGUGCCAGCAGCCGCCGUAA
RNAcentral lists this ribosomal RNA (458 nucleotides) under uncultured bacterium. Its description in RNAcentral is "partial 16S ribosomal RNA". It matches the Rfam family "Bacterial small subunit ribosomal RNA", at positions 28 to 523 of the family's 1533-position model. The record is from RNAcentral.